RNAcentral lists this long non-coding RNA (526 nucleotides) under Ananas comosus (pineapple). RNAcentral's name for it is "long non-coding RNA (ACOM_LNC038232)". The record is from RNAcentral. Lineage: Eukaryota; Viridiplantae; Streptophyta; Magnoliopsida; Poales; Bromeliaceae.
UUAUAUUCAUCUCUCUUUUUUUUAGUCCAAAUAUACGAAAUUGAUCACGUCGAGUAAUACGAUUGAAUCGAACGAAAAUGACGAAUCAAAAUAGAAUCCGUCCAUUUUCUUUUAUUGUCACGUUUUGUUCAAAUACGUGGAGUUUAAUCGUGUCGAGCCUAUCACGAAGAUGGCCGCUCGAUUAAUCUUUUCGACCGUGUCGAGCCUAUCACGAAGAUGGCCGCACGGUUCACGCUUUCGACCAUGUCGAGCCUAUCACGAAGAUGGCCGCACGGUUUACGUGAUAAAACGUCCGGUUCGAUCAAUUAUUUUGACCAUGUCGAACCUAUCACGAAAAUGACCGCACGGUUUGGAGAUUAACAAAUACAUACGCACAGCGGAAGUGACAAUUUAAUGUCAGAUUUGAUCGGUUCGAAACCUAUCACGAAGAUGGUCGGGUUGAUCAAACCAACAAAAAGAUCGCACUUAUGCUAUGCAUAUGCAUGCGUAUCUCCUAUUGUUGUAGAAGUCGUCGUGAUUGUCGUUG